AGACUGGCAGGGGAGACACCAUGAUCAGGCAGGUGGUUUUCCUAGGGCGAGGCUCAUCCCCUGCACUCCAGGUGUGCUGACCCCUGCGAUUUCCCCAAAUGCGGGAAACUUGACUGCAUAAUUUGUGGUAGUGGGGGACUGCAUUCAUGCUUUUAUUUU
This 159-nucleotide small nuclear RNA is filed under the name Aptenodytes forsteri (emperor penguin). RNAcentral's name for it is "U1 spliceosomal RNA". It matches the Rfam family "U1 spliceosomal RNA". From Rfam's summary of the family: U1 is a small nuclear RNA (snRNA) component of the spliceosome (involved in pre-mRNA splicing). Its 5' end forms complementary base pairs with the 5' splice junction, thus defining the 5' donor site of an intron. The record is from Rfam by way of RNAcentral. Lineage: Eukaryota; Metazoa; Chordata; Aves; Sphenisciformes; Spheniscidae.